GAAAGUACGACAUUGCUCACAUUGCUUCCAGUGUUUACUUUUAUAGGCCAACUUAAUGUUGGCUUUUUUUU
Molecule: non-coding RNA, 71 nt
Filed under: Xenorhabdus beddingii
Lineage: Bacteria; Pseudomonadati; Pseudomonadota; Gammaproteobacteria; Enterobacterales; Morganellaceae
Source: RNAcentral